RNAcentral lists this ribosomal RNA (253 nucleotides) under uncultured bacterium. RNAcentral's name for it is "partial 16S ribosomal RNA". It matches the Rfam family "Bacterial small subunit ribosomal RNA", at positions 524 to 776 of the family's 1533-position model. The record is from RNAcentral.
UACGUAGGGUGCAAGCGUUGUUCGGAAUUACUGGGCGUAAAGGGCUCGUAGGCGGCCAACUAAGUCGGAUGUGAAAUCCCCAGGCUUAACCUGGGAACUGCAUCCGAUACUGGAUGGCUUGAAUUCGGGAGAGGGAUGCAGAAUUCCAGGUGUAGCGGUGAAAUGCGUAGAUAUCUGGAGGAAUACCGGUGGCGAAGGCGGCAUCCUGGACCGAGAUUGACGCUGAUGAGCGAAAGCUAGGGGAGCAAACGGG